UGGGGAAUCGUGCACAAUGGGGGAAACCCUGAUGCAGCGACGCCGCGUGAGCGAUGAAGCCCUUCGGGGUGUAAAGCUCUUUCGACCCGGAAGAUAAUGACGGUACGGGGAGAAGAAGCUGCGGCUAACUACGUGCCAGCAGCCGCGGUAAUACGUAGGCAGCGAGCGUUGUUCGGAGUUACUGGGCGUAAAGGGUGCGUAGGCGGUGGACCAAGUCUGGUGUGAAAUCUCCCGGCUCAACCGGGAGGGUGCGCCGGAAACUGGUUUGCUUGGAGUACCGGAGAGGCAGGCGGAAUUCCUGGUGUAGCGGUGAAAUGCGUAGAUAUCAGGAGGAACACCGGUGGUGCAGACGGUCUGCUGGACGGUAACUGACGCUGAGGCACGAAAGCGUGGGUAGCAAACAGGAUUAGAUACCCUGGUAGUCCACGCCCUAAACGAUGCGCACUUGGUGUGGGCAGUUCAGUCUGUCCGUGCCGAAGCUAACGCGAUAAGUGCGCCGCCUGGGGAGUACGGCC
RNAcentral lists this ribosomal RNA (515 nucleotides) under uncultured bacterium. Its description in RNAcentral is "bacterial SSU rRNA". It matches the Rfam family "Bacterial small subunit ribosomal RNA", at positions 355 to 887 of the family's 1533-position model. The record is from RNAcentral.